GAUCCUGGCUCAGGAUGAACGCUAGCGGCAGGCUUAACACAUGCAAGUCGAGGGGCAGCGCGUUGUAGCAAUACGAUGGCGGCGACCGGCGAAAGGGUGCGUAACGCGUAUGCAACCAACCCCCGACGGGCGGACAGCCGGUGGAAACGCCGGAUAAUACGCCAUGCGGCUGUCCAGGGGCAUCCCUGGGCGGUCAAAGCCUUGGCGGUCGGGGACGGGCAUGCGUGCCAUUAGAUGGUCGGCGGGGUGACGGCCCACCGAGUCGACGAUGGCUAGGGGAUCUGAGAGGACGGUCCCCCACACUGGUACUGAGACACGGACCAGACUCCUGCGGGAGGCAGCAGUAAGGGAUAUUGGGCAAUGGGGGCAACCCUGACCCAGCCAUGCCGCGUGAGGGAAUGAGGCCCUACGGGUCGUGAACCUCUUUUAUUCGGGGACAAGGACGCGCACGAGAUGCGCGUUUGAGGGUACCGAAGGAAUAAGCGUCGGCUAACUCCGUGCC
This 502-nucleotide ribosomal RNA is filed under the name uncultured organism. RNAcentral's name for it is "SSU rRNA". It matches the Rfam family "Bacterial small subunit ribosomal RNA", at positions 15 to 509 of the family's 1533-position model. The record is from RNAcentral.